This 243-nucleotide unclassified non-coding RNA is filed under the name Hevea brasiliensis (rubber tree). Lineage: Eukaryota; Viridiplantae; Streptophyta; Magnoliopsida; Malpighiales; Euphorbiaceae. The record is from RNAcentral.
AGCAGGUUCUUGCCUUCAUAGCAAAUUUUCGGUUCGAAACAUAUGCAAAGCAAAAAUCACAAAUCUCAAACAAGUUGUAGGGGUUUUACUAUUUUUCCCAUACUCAUGAGUCAUGGGUUGUGACUCCCUCUCUAUGACAACAUAUAAUGCACAAAUGUUUUGAGAAUAUCACAAAAUGUAGGGAGAAAAAGUGAACAAAAUUACAAUUUGGAUACCAAUGUGAAUUUAUAAUCAUAGCCCUUG